This 73-nucleotide transfer RNA is filed under the name Candidatus Portiera aleyrodidarum (primary endosymbiont of Bemisia tabaci). RNAcentral describes it as "tRNA-Ile". It matches the Rfam family "tRNA". Rfam says of the family: Transfer RNA (tRNA) molecules are approximately 80 nucleotides in length. Their secondary structure includes four short double-helical elements and three loops (D, anti-codon, and T loops). Further hydrogen bonds mediate the characteristic L-shaped molecular structure. tRNAs have two regions of fundamental functional importance: the anti-codon, which is responsible for specific mRNA codon recognition, and the 3' end, to which the tRNAs corresponding amino acid is attached (by aminoacyl-tRNA synthetases). tRNAs cope with the degeneracy of the genetic code in two manners: having more than one tRNA (with a specific anti-codon) for a particular amino acid; and 'wobble' base-pairing, i.e. permitting non-standard base-pairing at the 3rd anti-codon position. The record is from RNAcentral. Lineage: Bacteria; Pseudomonadati; Pseudomonadota; Gammaproteobacteria; Johnevansiales (SeqCode); Johnevansiaceae (SeqCode).
GGGUCUGUAGCUCAGAUGGUAGAGCACACCCCUGAUAAGGGUAAGGUCGGUAGUUCAAGUCUGCCCAGACCCA